AAGCAAUGCCUUGAGUUUUUUCUAGGGUAGCUCUCUUUCCUCUUACUUUAACUUUCAGACAUUAAAAUAGGCUAGAGUAAGUGAUAGCAUAGAAAGUGUUACUCUAUUCAUUUACCUCCCAGCCAACCCUG
This is a small nucleolar RNA of Marmota marmota marmota (Alpine marmot), 131 nucleotides long. The record is from Ensembl. NCBI's taxonomy places the organism in Eukaryota, Metazoa, Chordata, Mammalia, Rodentia, Sciuridae.